This 383-nucleotide unclassified non-coding RNA is filed under the name uncultured Trichocomaceae. RNAcentral describes it as "sequence contains ITS2". The stretch from base 1 to 154 matches the Rfam family "5.8S ribosomal RNA". The record is from RNAcentral. Lineage: Eukaryota; Fungi; Ascomycota; Eurotiomycetes; Eurotiales; Trichocomaceae.
AACUUUUAACAACGGAUCACUUGGUUCCGGCAUCGAUGAAGAACGCAGCGAAAUGCGAUAAAUAAUGUGAAUUGCAGAAUUCAGUGAAUCAUCGAGUCUUUGAACGCACAUUGCGCCCCCUGGUAUUCCGGGGGGCAUGCCUGUCCGAGCGUCAUUACUGCCCUCAAGCACGGCUUGUGUGUUGGGCCCCGUCCUCCCCCUCCCGGGGGGACGGGCCCGAAAGGCAGCGGCGGUACCGCGUCCGGUCCUCGAGCGUAUGGGGCUUUGUCACCCGCUCUGCAGGCCCGGCCGGCGCCAGCCAACCCCCCAACCUUCUUCUUCAGGUUGACCUCGGAUCAGGUAGGGAUACCCGCUGAACUUAAGCAUAUCAAUAAGCGGAGGCU